This 283-nucleotide ribosomal RNA is filed under the name Metschnikowia hawaiiensis. RNAcentral's name for it is "partial 18S ribosomal RNA". It matches the Rfam family "Eukaryotic small subunit ribosomal RNA", at positions 1341 to 1652 of the family's 1831-position model. Lineage: Eukaryota; Fungi; Ascomycota; Pichiomycetes; Serinales; Metschnikowiaceae. The record is from RNAcentral.
CCUUAACCUUUAAAUAGGUCCAUUAGCUUUUUGCUGAAAGGAACUUCUUAAAGGNACUAUUGAUUAAAAAUCAAUUGAAGUUUGAGGCAAUAACANGUCUGUGAUGCCNUUAGACGUUCUNGGCNCACGCGCGCUNCACUGACGGAGGCAACGAGUUGACCUUAGCCGAAAGGUUUGGGAAAUCUGUAAACUCNNNNGUGAUGGGGAUAAAGCAUUGAAAUUAUUGCNNUUGAACGAGGAAUUCCUAGUAAGCGUAAGUCAUUAACUUGCGNNGAUUACGUCC